UAGAGUUUGAUCCUGGCUCAGGAUGAACGCUAGCUACAGGCUUAACACAUGCAAGUCGAGGGGCAUCGGGGACGAGGUUUCGGCCUUGUCUGCCGGCGACCGGCGAAUGGGUGAGUAACGCGUAUCCAACCUGCCCGUAUCCGGAGGACAGGCUUCCGAAAGGAAGAUUGACCCUCCAUGUGCUACAGAAAGACAUCUUUAAGUAGUAAAAGUUUUACGGAUACGGAUGGGGAUGCGUCCGAUUAGCCAGUUGGCGGGGUAACGGCCCACCAAGGCGACGAUCGGUAGGGGUUCUGAGAGGAAGGUCCCCCACAUUGGGACUGAGACACGGCCCAAACUCCUACGGGAGGCAGCAGUGAGGAAUAUUGGUCAAUGGCCGCGAGGCUGAACCAGCCAAGUAGCGUGCGGGAGGAAGGCCCUAUGGGUUGUAAACCGCUUUUAUACGGGAGUAAAGAGCUUCACGUGUGGAGCCUUGCAAGUACCGUAGGAAUAAGGACCGGCUAAUUCCGUGCCAGCAGCCGCGGUAAUACGGAAGGUCCGGGCGUUAUCCGGAUUUAUUGGGUUUAAAGGGAGCGCAGGCGGGAGUGCAGGUCAGUUGUGAAAUCCCGGGGCUUAACCUCGGGGCUGCAGUUGAAACCUCACAUCUUGAGUGAGCGCAAGGAUUGCGGAAUUCGUGGUGUAGCGGUGAAAUGCAUAGAUAUCACGAAGAACCCCGAUUGCGAAGGCAGCAAUCCGGAGCUUUACUGACGCUGAGGCUCGAAGGUGCGGGUAUCGAACAGGAUUAGAUACCCUGGUAGUCCGCACAGUAAACGAUGGAUACUCGUGGUUGGUCCUAAAGGGUCAGUCACCAAAGCAAAAGCGUUAAGUAUCCCACCUGGGGAGUACGCCGGCAACGGUGAAACUCAAAGGAAUUGACGGGGGCCCGCACAAGCGGAGGAACAUGUGGUUUAAUUCGAUGAUACGCGAGGAACCUUACCCGGGCUUGAAUUGCAGGUUUUGGUUUAGAGAUAGACCUUUCCCUUCGGGGUGCCUGUGAAGGUGCUGCAUGGUUGUCGUCAGCUCGUGCCGUGAGGUGUCGGCUUAAGUGCCGUAACGAGCGCAACCCCUUUCGUCAGUUGCCAUCAGGUUAAGCUGGGCACUCUGGCGACACUGCCACCGCAAGGUGUGAGGAAGGUGGGGAUGACGUCAAAUCAGCACGGCCCUUACGUCCGGGGCUACACACGUGUUACAAUGGGGCAUACAGAGCGUCGGCCUGUCGCAAGACUGGUCUAAUCGUGAAACUGUCCCUCAGUUCGGAUUGGGGUCUGCAACCCGACCCCAUGAAGCUGGAUUCGCUAGUAAUCGCGCAUCAGCCAUGGCGCGGUGAAUACGUUCCCGGGCCUUGCACAAACCGCCCGUCA
Molecule: ribosomal RNA, 1400 nt
Filed under: uncultured bacterium
Lineage: Bacteria
Description: 16S ribosomal RNA
Rfam family: Bacterial small subunit ribosomal RNA
Source: RNAcentral